This 73-nucleotide transfer RNA is filed under the name Ixodes scapularis (black-legged tick). Its description in RNAcentral is "tRNA-Ser". It matches the Rfam family "tRNA". Rfam says of the family: Transfer RNA (tRNA) molecules are approximately 80 nucleotides in length. Their secondary structure includes four short double-helical elements and three loops (D, anti-codon, and T loops). Further hydrogen bonds mediate the characteristic L-shaped molecular structure. tRNAs have two regions of fundamental functional importance: the anti-codon, which is responsible for specific mRNA codon recognition, and the 3' end, to which the tRNAs corresponding amino acid is attached (by aminoacyl-tRNA synthetases). tRNAs cope with the degeneracy of the genetic code in two manners: having more than one tRNA (with a specific anti-codon) for a particular amino acid; and 'wobble' base-pairing, i.e. permitting non-standard base-pairing at the 3rd anti-codon position. The record is from RNAcentral. Lineage: Eukaryota; Metazoa; Arthropoda; Arachnida; Ixodida; Ixodidae.
UCCUGGUUAGCUCAGUUGGUAGAGCGCUCCACUGGAAAGGGAGAGGUCCCUGGUUCGACAGCAGGACCAGGAU